RNAcentral lists this unclassified non-coding RNA (328 nucleotides) under soil metagenome. RNAcentral's name for it is "partial contains 5.8S ribosomal RNA, internal transcribed spacer 2, and large subunit ribosomal RNA". The stretch from base 1 to 120 matches the Rfam family "5.8S ribosomal RNA", at positions 35 to 154 of the family's 154-position model. The record is from RNAcentral.
GAUGAAGAACGUAGCGAAAUGCGAUAAGUAAUGUGAAUUGCAGAAUUCAGUGAAUCAUCGAAUCUUUGAACGCACAUUGCGCCCCCUGGUAUUCCGGGGGGCAUGCCUGUUCGAGCGUCAUUUCAACCCUCAAGCUCUGCUUGGUAUUGAGUCCAUGUCAGCAAUGGCAGGCUCCAAAAUCAGUGGCGGCGCCGCUGGGUCCUGAACGUAGUAAUAUCUCUCGUUACAGGUGCUCGGCGUGCUUCUGCCAAAACCCCAAUUUUUCUAUGGUUGACCUCGGAUCAGGUAGGGAUACCCGCUGAACUUAAGAAUAUCAAUAAGCGGAGGA